Molecule: ribosomal RNA, 281 nt
Filed under: Clostridioides difficile
Lineage: Bacteria; Bacillati; Bacillota; Clostridia; Peptostreptococcales; Peptostreptococcaceae
Description: partial 16S ribosomal RNA
Rfam family: Bacterial small subunit ribosomal RNA
Source: RNAcentral
AAUAUCAAAGGUGAGCCAGUACAGGAUGGACCCGCGUCUGAUUAGCUAGUUGGUAAGGUAACGGCUUACCAAGGCGACGAUCAGUAGCCGACCUGAGAGGGUGAUCGGCCACAUUGGAACUGAGACACGGUCCAAACUCCUACGGGAGGCAGCCGUGGGGAAUAUUGCACAAUGGGCGAAAGCCUGAUGCAGCAACGCCGCGUGAGUGAUGAAGGCCUUCGGGUCGUAAAACUCUGUCCUCAAGGAAGAUAAUGACGGUACUUGAGGAGGAAGCCCCGGCU